UACGUAGGGGGCAAGCGUUGUCCGGAAUUAUUGGGCGUAAAGCGCGUGUAGGCGGCUCGAUAAGUCUGCUGUGAAAGUCCAAGGCUCAACCUUGGAAUGCCGGUGGAUACUGUCGAGCUCGAGUCCGGAAGAGGCGAGUGGAAUUCCUGGUGUAGCGGUGAAAUGCGUAGAUAUCUGGAGGAACACCGGUGGCGAAGGCGGCGUUCUGGACUGUAACUGACACUGAAAAACGAAAGCCAGGGGAGCAAACGGG
Molecule: ribosomal RNA, 253 nt
Filed under: uncultured bacterium
Lineage: Bacteria
Description: partial 16S ribosomal RNA
Rfam family: Bacterial small subunit ribosomal RNA
Source: RNAcentral